AAAGCGUGCGCAGGCGGUUAUGUAAGACAGAUGUGAAAUCCCCGGGCUCAACCUGGGAACUGCAUUUGUGACUGCAUGGCUAGAGUAAGGUAGAGGGGGAUGGAAUUCCGCGUGUAGCAGUGAAAUGCGUAGAUAUGCGGAGGAACACCGAUGGCGAAGGCAAUCCCCUGGACCUGUACUGACGCUCAUGCACGAAAGCGUGGGGAGCAAACAGGAUUAGAUACCCGUGU
RNAcentral lists this ribosomal RNA (230 nucleotides) under uncultured bacterium. Its description in RNAcentral is "partial 16S ribosomal RNA". It matches the Rfam family "Bacterial small subunit ribosomal RNA", at positions 562 to 791 of the family's 1533-position model. The record is from RNAcentral.